UUUCAGACACUGCAACCACCACCGUCUAAUUCUGUAGCUCUUCCUUCCCUUACAACAAUGGCUGAAGCAUUCCUCUUCGAUCUUGCAAUCGAAAUAAUGACAAAGUUGGGUUCCCAUGCUAUCCAGGAGAUUGGCCUGUACUGGGGCUUCAAAGACGAGCUUCACAAGCUCAACAGAAUGGUAUCUACCAUCAAAGCUGUGCUUCUUCAUGCAGAGGAGCUGUCAUCGGAGAAUCGUCAAGUCAAAGAGUGGCUUUCGAUGCUCAAAGAUGCAUUUUAUGAUGCUGAUGACUUGUUGGAUGAGUUAUCACUCAAGGCUUUACAAAAACAAGUUAUGACUGGCACAAGAAUGGCCAAGGAGGUACGCCUUUUCUUUUCCAGCUCAAAUCCAUUUGCUUAUGGUCCUAAAAUGGCUCAUAAAAUUAAGGCAAUCGGAGAAAGAUUGGAUGAGAUAGCUGAAAAUAGGAAGUUUUUCUUGGAGGAGCGCCAUGAGGAGAGGCGUAUUGCAGCUAAUAAGGGCAGGGACCAAACUCACUCCUUUCCACCUGAAGUAGUUGUUGGCAGGGAACAUGAUAAGGAGGCAAUUAUAGAGCUUCUGUUGAAAUCCAAUGAUGAAGAGAAUGUGUCAAUUAUUCCCAUAAUUGGAAUUGGUGGAUUGGGAAAGACAACAUUAGCCCAACUUGUGUAUAAUGAUGAGAAAGUCAAAGGGCAAUUUGAGCUAAAAGCAUGGGCAUGUGUCUCAGAUAAUUUUGAUGUAAAAUUAAUAGUUGAAAAGAUUUUAGAAUCUGUGUCUUGUCAGAAACCUAAUAGUAGCGAGAUGGAUGCAUUGAAAAGUCUCCUUCAUGAAAAAAUUAUUGGGAAGAAAUACUUGAUUGUGUUGGAUGACAUAUGGAAUGAGGAUUCAGAAAAAUGGAAUCGCUUAAAGGACUUGCUAGUUGGUGGUGCAAGAGGAAGCAAAAUAAUAAUAACCACGCGACUUAGAAAGGUUGCAGAGUUGGCUCGCCCCAUUGCUAUGUAUGAAUUACAAGGCUUGCCUGAAUCUGAAUCUUGGUCAUUGUUUGAAAAAAUAGCAUUCAAGCGAGGACAAGUGGUAAGUCAAAGCCAUGAAGAUAUAGGAAGGGAAAUUGUAGCAAAGUGUUGGGGGGUUCCUUUGGCCAUAAGAACAAUAGGAAGUCUCUUGUACUUGAAGGAUUCCGAAUCUGAAUGGUUAUCCUUCAAAAGUAAAGAACUCUCAAAGGUAAAUCAGUGUGAAAGUGAUAUUUUACCUACUCUUAAAUUGAGUUAUAAUUAUUUGCCUUCGCAUUUGAAACAAUGUUUUGCAUAUUGUGCCUUAUUUCCAAAAGACUACCAAAUUGAUGUUGAUAUGUUAAUACGUCUUUGGAUGGCACAAGGUUAUGUGAAGUCAUCGGAUCCGAGCCAAUGUCUUAUAGAUGUUGGUCUUGAAUAUUUUGGUGAUCUUCUUUGGAGGUCUUUCUUUCAAGAAGUUGAAAAAGAUGACCUUGGUAAUUAUACAACUUGUAAAAUGCAUGAUUUGAUGCAUGAUCUU
RNAcentral lists this unclassified non-coding RNA (1545 nucleotides) under Hevea brasiliensis (rubber tree). Lineage: Eukaryota; Viridiplantae; Streptophyta; Magnoliopsida; Malpighiales; Euphorbiaceae. The record is from RNAcentral.